UGGGGAAUCUUGCGCAAUGGACGAAAGUCUGACGCAGCCACGCCGCGUGAGUGAAGAAGGCCUUCGGGUUGUAAAGCUCUGUCGGAGGGGACGAAAAGUCUUGGGGUUAAUAGCCCCAGGAUGUGACGGUACCCUUAAAGGAAGCACCGGCUAACUCUGUGCCAGCAGCCGCGGUAAUACAGAGGGUGCAAGCGUUGCUCGGAAUUAUUGGGCGUAAAGGGUAGGUAGGUGGUCUCAUUUGUGUGGGGUGAAAGCCUUGGGCUUAACUCAAGAAGUGCCCCGCAAACGGUGAGACUGGAGUACUGGAGAGGCUAGCGGAAUUCCCGGUGUAGCGGUGAAAUGCGUAGAGAUCGGGAGGAACACCAGAGGCGAAGGCGGCUAGCUGGACAGUAACUGACACUCAACUACGAAAGCGUGGGGAGCAAACAG
This 429-nucleotide ribosomal RNA is filed under the name uncultured bacterium. Its description in RNAcentral is "bacterial SSU rRNA". It matches the Rfam family "Bacterial small subunit ribosomal RNA", at positions 355 to 775 of the family's 1533-position model. The record is from RNAcentral.